GGGCUUUUAGUAUAGUGGUAGUAUGCCUGCUUCGGGUUAAGCGAAGCUCAGUUGCGGCAGACCGUAAUUGCAGGUGACCCCGGAUCAAACCCGGGAAAGCCCC
This is a non-coding RNA of Tortispora caseinolytica NRRL Y-17796, 103 nucleotides long. Lineage: Eukaryota; Fungi; Ascomycota; Trigonopsidomycetes; Trigonopsidales; Trigonopsidaceae. The record is from the annotation of a GenBank genome assembly.